ACCUACGGGACGCAGCAGUGGGGAAUCUUGCGCAAUGGGCGAAAGCCUGACGCAGCAACGCCGCGUGUGUGAUGAAGGUCUUCGGAUCGUAAAGCACUGUCGCGAGGGACGAAUAAGGGGCGGGCGAACAGCCCGUUCCGAUGACGGUACCUCGAGAGGAAGCACCGGCUAACUCUGUGCCAGCAGCCGCGGUAAUACAGAGGGUGCGAGCGUUGUUCGGAAUUAUUGGGCGUAAAGCGCGUGUAGGCGGCCUUGCAAGUUGGGUGUGAAAGCCCUCGGCUUAACCGAGGAAGUGCGCCCAAAACUACGAGGCUUGAGUGCCGGAGAGGGUGGCGGAAUUCCCGGUGUAGAGGUGAAAUUCGUAGAUAUCGGGAGGAACACCAGUGGCGAAGGCGGCCACCUGGACGGUAACUGACGCUGAGACGCGAAAGCGUGGGGAGCAAACAGGAUUAGAUACCCGUGUAGUCCA
Molecule: ribosomal RNA, 469 nt
Filed under: uncultured bacterium
Lineage: Bacteria
Description: bacterial SSU rRNA
Rfam family: Bacterial small subunit ribosomal RNA
Source: RNAcentral